This 120-nucleotide ribosomal RNA is filed under the name Aspergillus aculeatus ATCC 16872. The record is from RNAcentral. Lineage: Eukaryota; Fungi; Ascomycota; Eurotiomycetes; Eurotiales; Aspergillaceae.
ACAUACUUCCAAAGAGUGUAGAAAACAGGGCUUCCCGUCCGCUCAGCCGUACCUAAGUCACACGCCGGAAGGUUAGUAGUUGGGGGGGUGGCCGCCAGCGAAUCCCUUCAGUGGUAUGUU